UUGUUGUUUUAAUGUUGUUCUUCGGCCCUUAAAUUCUUCAAAUUAGUACCUAACUUUUUACUAAUGAAAUAUCAUUGUAGACACUCCUUUUUGUAGAUAGAAUGAUAGUUAGCCCAAAAUUGUUUUCUGGUUGGGGUUAUAUGCAUUUUUGUUCUCGCAUGUUUCAUUCAUUUGGACUGUCAAAACUAGCUUGUUUAUUUUACUAAGAAUCUGUAGUUUUUUUUCGAAGUUCCAUUUUUCCUUUUUGAAUUAUAAAAGUCUGUUACCAUGUGCUGAGAGGUUAGUGCCUGGAGAUGUAGCGAGACAUUGGAAUGUGACUAUCAUUCUGGAGCCAUUGAAGGUGAUGGAGAUGGAAAGAAACUGAAGUAGUUCUGAUGAGGUGACGAGGGAAGGAUGCUAUCAAUUUUUCCAUGAAAUAUAGCCUUUGUUGUUAUGACAUCGUAUGAUGUUUGAAAAGUGGUUAGGAAGGAUUCUAGAAUGUUAGGUGGCAAAGUUGGUCUUUGUUCGAGUAACCACUCCACUCGGAUAACCUUUGGUCUCUCUCUCAAACCUAGUCAUUGGCGAGAGUCCUUCAAAUCUCACCUGUGACAAACCUCUAGUUUCUUGCCACUAAACCUUAAGAUACUAGUAGCUCCAAAUGAGAGUGAGCACUUUUAAAUCUCUCCUCAAUAUUCUACUUUUCCAAAAUUUCCAAAAAGACAGACAGAGACUUGAAAAUCUGACAAUGUUUUUGCUUUGGUCUCAAAACCAAAAAUAUCUUGCUAAAGUUUUUUAUUGAAGUAAUUUUUUACAUUUUAAUGUGAAAUGUUUUUGUUUACCAAUAUUUUCACUUUUUUGCUAUCUGAACACCAGAAAGUAUGUACACUAUUUUACUAAAAAUAUUUUAUUCCUAAACAAAUGGAUUCUUGGUAUAAAAUAUUUGUUUAAAAUGCUUAUUUAAUAAAGGACUUGUCUUUUUUAGUACAUUACAAUAGCAAAAUAUUAACGAAGCACUUUCUUGUUUUUGCUUGAUUAACCAACCAAACACUUAUUACUUGGAUUUAGCAACAAUAAAUACAACACUACCCUUAGUUACCGAACACUACUUUUAUCAAUAUUGCUUUCACAACACAACACCAAUGCCAAAUAUCGCAUACCUGUUCUCCUCAAAUUCUGUUGUACUUGGCCUUUGGGAGCCAAAUAUCUUUCUUGUGCCUCUUUGACCAUCUUUUGGUAUCAUAUGAGUCAAACUCAUUCCAAACCAACUGUGAUAUCCCAUCUGUAUGAAAAAGUUUUCAGAUUUCGUGACUUGGAUAGUAAUUCUACUGAUUCCACUCGGCUGGGGACUCACACUAGAACUGAGUUUGCUACCAAGCAAACUUGUGGAUCUCUACAUAAUAGAAGAUCAUCAUCAAUUGCUUACCCUUGUCCUUGUGUUGAGGGAGUGGAUCCAUAAGAAGAUCAUUUGGGAUGGCAAUUCCAAAGAAUGUCGGUGAUCACCCCUUUGGCCAGGCAGGCAGCAAGCACCACCGUUAUCUCUUCCAAUGUCAUAUCCUGUGAGGACUAGGAGGGGUAUCAGCUUGCCUUUUCUGCCAUGCCACUCGCUAUUUCAGGGUUGAACCACAUAAGCUGAGCAUCUCCAUUGAGGGGAUGAGUGAAAAGUGAGCAACCACUGGCUUGGAAGAAUAUCCUUCUCUCCUCAUCUGAGCAGGUUAUCUUUGGCCAAGGGAUCUUGAAUGUUCAUUACCUUUUCUCGCAAUCUUUGCAAAUAAUGAUGAAGGUCCUCACCUUGAUGCUGCAUUUCUCUAAGGAAAUGUAAGGUAGUGAGCCCCUCUUCCACUUUUAAGAUUUUUGCCAAGAACUUUACCAAAUUUUCCUAAGAUGAAUCUGGCUAGAAGAUUGGGUUACCAAGUGCAGGCAUUGUCUGUUAAUAACUCUGAGAGGUCCUGUAGUCUCAAAUUCUUGUUUGCAGAAUGCAAAGCUAAGAUAUUCAUGCACAUUACCUCUCUUCUGUCAUGCUUCACAAAUGUAAGGAUGGUAUAACCUUCUAGGUAAGUGGCAUUUGCAGCUUCCAUAUAAUAUGGGAGGCAGAGAUCAAGUUCAUCUGUGGAACUCCCUUGGCGCUACAGUUGGGAGGUGAUGUACUUGGCAAUCUGAUUAAUUGUCAGCAACUCAACAGGUGUCAAGAUGCUACCUUCUGGCAAGUGAGAUUAUUGGUUCUUGUAUAACCUCCAGUGCAAAGACCGUGGCUGAAGGGUUAGUGUGGGUUCCUUUGCCCUAUUGGGGUCACUCUCAGAACUGAUGAGAUUAGAAGAAAAAGUUUACUGUUGGCAUGGCUGCAUUGUCUGAUUUUGCUGAAGUGAAAAGAAAGCAUUCAUUGUAACCUGUGGUGUAUGUUCCAUUGUGAUAGCUAUUCUGUGAACAACUUCAUCUGGGUACUUUAUCAGCAGGUUCAAAAUUGUGAUUGUUCUCCAACUCCAAAUAAUAGAGUCGUCCAGUUGGUUGCAUCAUCUAGGUUUGGUAGUCUUGUGACAGUGGUAGACCCUGCCCCUUUUCUAGGGGGCACCAUUAUCAGACAGAAGCAGUGUUCCCAGUGGAGUGAAUGUUGAGAGAUCAGUAGAGAUGGAAUGACAUAUUGUACUAUCAUUAGUUGCUGAUAUAGAGCCAGCAGAGGUGAUGUAGGUUGGAAGAGACUGGAGCAGUUGGGACAUCAGAGAGAAAAUCUGUGCCAGAGUGAUCUCUGGUUGAAUGGUGAAUGAUCUCUCCAUUCAUCCAGCUACCUAGUUUUAGGUAAUGGGGAUAGAUACUAACAAUCUUCUGGGAAAAAUUGGGGCUUAGGUUGCUAGGACUGCUCAUGUAUUCUUAUAUGUAGUUAAUAAAAGAUUCCAGAAUGCUGGUGGCAAAGCUGGUCCUUGUGCUGACAACCCCUUGCAUCUUCCUGGUUCUCUCUCAAACUGUCAUGGGUGAGAGUUCCUGAUGCAGGGGAAUCACACUUUUGACAAGUUCCAAGUCUCUUUUUCACCAAACGGCAAGACCCCAAUAGUCCCAAAGGAGAGGGAGAGCUUCAGAGUCCCUUCCCAGGAUACCAAGGGUUUUCAAAGUUUCCUUUAUUGCUCAUUCACUUGGUUGAGGGAGGGACUCUCUUAGUCAACUGGGUCAAGGUCAAGUCACAUCGGACCUGAGUGAAUGGGUACCUUGGAACUGAUUGAGUGGGUGGACUAUUUUUGCCCUUAAUAUUCUCAACAGGAUAUGCUUCCUUUGGCAAACUUCUUUUGAAUUUGAAGUUAUUCUCAAACUUUUUUUUUUCCUGUUCUUCCUGUUUCUGAACGUGAUUCAGUUAAUUAAUUGUCU
Diospyros lotus (date-plum) is the source of this 3330-nucleotide long non-coding RNA. RefSeq lists it as uncharacterized. NCBI's taxonomy places the organism in Eukaryota, Viridiplantae, Streptophyta, Magnoliopsida, Ericales, Ebenaceae. The transcript is spliced from 3 exons. The record is from RefSeq and is a predicted model, not a curated record.